CAGCUGCUGCUGCACGCUUUUGUUAUUUGUUAACUUAUCAUGCCAUGAGGAGAACAGAAAUCUUAUCCUGCUGAUCAUUUCUUGUUCUCGAAUUCUAAAAUCAAGUACUUGUUUUCUCGUAGCAUUGUUAUUUUGGUUGCGUUAAUUUUUUUUUAAACGAUGUCGAUCGAAGUUGAAAAAAAGAAAGACGGUGUUACUUAUUGUGUGACUUGGAAAACGUUAAAAAGCCUCCUAUUUUCGAACAGAGAAAUCGAUUAAAUGUUCGAACUGAACACCCCAGGAAGCAACUUUUCAUUUAAAGUCUCAUUUACUCACAGUUUUCAGUUCAAUUUUUUAAGUUUUAGCACUGUUUGCAUCGAACUGUGUUUGUCACUAAUCAAAUGCUCGAGCAACAUUUCUAGUCUUUGUGGAGGAAAAGACGCCAUCUUUAAUUGUGACCAUAAUCUGCCUUGCUCUGUUUGGGUUACAAUCAACGAUGAAGAGGAAAGAAGAAUAAAUCUGGAAAAAGCUGUUGGAUUAGAUGAGUGGACUUCAGGAAAAUUUAGUAUUAAAACUUUUGGCAACCCCACCUUCCACCUUUGGUUGCAGUUUGCAAAACAGCUGACGGACACCCAGCAAACUCCAUUAGCCGAAGAUAAGGACAAUGUGAAAGUUCCCAAGUCCAAGGAGUUCUGUCGUGGCAAGCUGAUUGCACUCGAGCAACUGGAGAAAGUGUUUGUCGAGCAAACGAACUGCGAUGUCGAAUUCUUGUUCGAAGACGAGGAGAAAAUCGGUGGUCAUAUUUCCAUCUUGGCUGCCAGAAGUCCCGUUUUCUCUGCCAUGUUUUACCACAACCUUCAAGAGUCCGAGACGGGCAAAGUCUUCGUCCAAGACAUCCGGCCACAGAUUUUCAAGGAGAUGCUACAUUACAUUUACUCCGGCCAGACUUUGGCUCCUUUGACGGACGCCAUCGCUCAACCCCUGUUCGUAGUUUCAGACAAAUACGAUAUCGAGGAUCUGAAGGAGAAGUGCGUUCGUUAUCUGCUGAGAAGCGUUCGGAAGAGUAAUGCCGUUGACUUGUUGGUCUGGGCAAAUCUUCAUUCGGUGGAGAAAAUCCAAGAAGCAACCCUUGACUAUGUGGCUAAAAAUUUCAAAACCAUUUGUCACUCGAAUGAAUGGGAGAACCUGAUGAAGAACUAUCCGGAGCUUGGAUUCCUGGUGACUCAACGCUAUGCAGCUAUUUAAGAAAUACGCCAGCCGAAGAGUUUUGUAUAACUUUAAAUGCGGUUCCAGCGUCACCGCCAAAAUCCACAUGUGUUCACGAUCCUCGCAAUAACAGCACGUACAGCAUGAUACUGGACACUUAAGCAAGAUUUGCUUUUUAUCGCACGGUCAGCUAGUAUGGCAUCCCUGAAUAGUGAUUUUCACGAAAUCUUUUCUUUUGGUGGUUGUUAUUGCCAAUCGAUAAUACGACGCGCUGUAACUAAGGUUGCAGAGAAAUAUUUCAAAAAUAGCCGACUGCUGUCUUUCAAACGGUUUGAAAUGGAAAAUUUAUUCAUUCACCGAAGAAACGAUUCAAAUGACUCAGAUGUCAAUUGUCAUAAAACCCAUCCCCAGCGACGUCAACCUGCAG
Molecule: unclassified non-coding RNA, 1612 nt
Filed under: Daphnia pulicaria
Lineage: Eukaryota; Metazoa; Arthropoda; Branchiopoda; Diplostraca; Daphniidae
Description: speckle-type POZ protein-like, transcript variant X6
Source: RNAcentral